GAUGAAGAACGCAGCGAAAUGCGACAAGUAAUGUGAAUUGCAGAAUUCAGUGAAUCAUCGAAUCUUUGAACGCACAUUGCGCCCCUUGGUAUUCCGAGGGGCAUGCCUGUUCGAGCGUCAUUAUAACCCCUCAAGCUCGGCUUGGUGUUGGGGCCUGCCGCACGGGCAGCCCUUAAAAUCAGUGGCGGUGCCAUCUGGCUCUAAGCGUAGUAAUUCUUCUCGCUAUAGAGUCCCGGUGGAUGCUUGCCAUUAACCCCCAAUUUCAAUGGUUGACCUCGGAUCAGGUAGGGAUACCCGCUGAACUUAAGCAUAUCAAUAAGCGGAGGA
RNAcentral lists this unclassified non-coding RNA (327 nucleotides) under soil metagenome. RNAcentral's name for it is "partial contains 5.8S ribosomal RNA, internal transcribed spacer 2, and large subunit ribosomal RNA". The stretch from base 1 to 120 matches the Rfam family "5.8S ribosomal RNA", at positions 35 to 154 of the family's 154-position model. The record is from RNAcentral.